Molecule: ribosomal RNA, 386 nt
Filed under: uncultured bacterium
Lineage: Bacteria
Description: bacterial SSU rRNA
Rfam family: Bacterial small subunit ribosomal RNA
Source: RNAcentral
AGUGUCCUGAAGUGGGGGAUAACGCAUCGAAAGAUGUGCUAAUACCGCAUAUUCUCUGAGGAGGAAAGUAGGGGAUCGAAAGACCUUAUGCUUUUGGAGCGGCCGAUGUCUGAUUAGCUAGUUGGUAGGGUAAUGGCUUACCAAGGCGACGAUCAGUAGUUGGUCUGAGAGGACGACCAGCCACACUGGGACUGAGACACGGCCCAGACUCCUACGGGAGGCAGCAGUGGGGAAUUUUGGACAAUGGGCGCAAGCCUGAUCCAGCAAUGCCGCGUGAGUGAAGAAGGCCUUCGGGUUGUAAAGCUCUUUCAGUUGAGAAGAAAAGUCGUGACUAAUAAUCAUGAUUCAUGACGGUAUCAACAGAAGAAGCACCGGCUAACUACGUG